Molecule: ribosomal RNA, 579 nt
Filed under: Russula sp.
Lineage: Eukaryota; Fungi; Basidiomycota; Agaricomycetes; Russulales; Russulaceae
Description: partial small subunit ribosomal RNA
Rfam family: Bacterial small subunit ribosomal RNA
Source: RNAcentral
UCCGGCAGUCCCAAAAUAUUAGUCAAUGCUCGAAAGAGUGAACUAGCUACUGAAUCAAUUAAAAUAAAUUGAUAACAUAAGGGAAAAUAAUGAUAUUACCUUAUUAUUAGUGUCGUCCAAAACUGGUGCCAGAAGACUCGGUAAGGCCAGAGACAUAAACGUUAAUCGUCUUAAUCAGGCGUAAAGGGUUUGUAGGCGGCUUUAAAAUUUACUUAAUUAAAUAAAAAAAAAAGAAGUAAAAAAUAAAAGCUAGAAUCAAAUAGAGGAUAUAUUAAAGAAUGCUUAGAGUAGGUCUGAUAUCUUUAGAUACUAAGUAGAAUAUUAAUGGCGAAAGCUUUUUUCCAUUAAUGAUUGACGCUCAGAAACGAAGGUGAGGAUAGGAAAUAGGAUUAGAUACCCAAAAUACCCCUCUCUGUCAACGAUGAAUGGUAGUUAUUAGUAAAGUAAAUUUUAUUAAUGACAAUGUUAACACGAUAACCAUUCCGCCUUGUGAGUACAAUUGCAAAGUUGAAAACAAAAAAAUUAGUCGGUUUCGGAGCAAACGAAGUGAAGCAUGUUAUUUAAUACGAUAAAUCCGCA